AGGCCAUGGAGCAUUUUGAAAACCAUUGGAAUCAUCUGUUCUUUAAAGCAAUUUCAGCUCCUGUCUUCUGAUUUUGGUCUUGAAAAGGGGAGUCAAUCCAACAGAAAGAAAAUGCAGCAAAGGGAUGGUGAUGAAUGGCAAGAGCCCUGGGCUCAUCUCUUGUGCCCUGAGGAGCAGAAGGAGGGAGGCAGC
Hippopotamus amphibius kiboko is the source of this 192-nucleotide long non-coding RNA. RefSeq lists it as uncharacterized. NCBI's taxonomy places the organism in Eukaryota, Metazoa, Chordata, Mammalia, Artiodactyla, Hippopotamidae. The transcript is spliced from 3 exons. The record is from RefSeq and is a predicted model, not a curated record.